AACGCACAUUGCGCCCUUUGGUAUUCCUUAGGGCAUGCCUGUUCGAGCGUCAUCUAACCCCCUCAAGCACUGCUUGGUGUUGGGCGCUUUGUCCCGCCCCGGCGCGGACUCGCCUCAAAAGCAUUGGCGGCCUGUGUAUUGGCUUCGAGCGCAGCAGACGCGCGCCUCGCGAACCUCUGGCACGGGCGUCCAUCAAGACGCACCCCAAAGUUUGACCUCGGAUCAGGUAGGGAUACCCGCUGAACUUAA
RNAcentral lists this unclassified non-coding RNA (249 nucleotides) under uncultured fungus. RNAcentral's name for it is "partial contains 5.8S ribosomal RNA, internal transcribed spacer 2, and large subunit ribosomal RNA". Lineage: Eukaryota; Fungi. The record is from RNAcentral.